AUUGAACGCUGGCGGCAGGCCUAACACAUGCAAGUCGAACGAGUGGCGCACGGGUGAGUAAUGUCUGGGAAACUGCCUUAUGGAGGGGUAUAACUACUGGAAACUGUAGCUAAUACCGCAUACCAUCAGAUGUGCCCAGAUGGGAUAAGCUAGUGGGAGGUGUAACGGCUCACCAAGGCGACGAGCCCUAGCUGGUCUGAGAGGAUGACCAGACACACUGGAACUGAGACACGGUCCAGACUCCUACGGGAGGCAGCAGUGGGGAAUAUUGCACAAUGGGCGCAAGCCUGAUGCAGCCAUGCCGCGUGUAUGAAGAAGGCCUUAGGGUUGUAAAGUACUUUCAGCGGGGAGGCGUUACCCGCAGAAGAAGCACCGGCUAACUCCGUGCCAGCCGCCGCGGUAAUUC
RNAcentral lists this ribosomal RNA (406 nucleotides) under uncultured bacterium. RNAcentral describes it as "partial 16S ribosomal RNA". It matches the Rfam family "Bacterial small subunit ribosomal RNA", at positions 30 to 526 of the family's 1533-position model. The record is from RNAcentral.